Molecule: ribosomal RNA, 737 nt
Filed under: uncultured bacterium
Lineage: Bacteria
Description: bacterial SSU rRNA
Rfam family: Bacterial small subunit ribosomal RNA
Source: RNAcentral
GAGUUUGAACCUGGCUCAGGAUGAACGCUGGCGGCGUGCCUAACACAUGCAAGUCGAACGGAUCCAUAUCGAAACCUAGUGAUGUAUGGAUUAGUGGCGGACGGGUGAGUAACGCGUGGAUAACCUGCCGUAUACGGGGGGAUAACACUUAGAAAUAGGUGCUAAUACCGCAUAAGCGCACGGUUCCGCAUGGAACAGUGUGAAAAACUCCGGUGGUAUACGAUGGAUCCGCGUCUGAUUAGCCAGUUGGCGGGGUAACGGCCCACCAAAGCGACGAUCAGUAGCCGGCCUGAGGGGGUGAACGGCCACAUUGGGACUGAGACACGGCCCAAACUCCUACGGGAGGCAGCAGUGGGGAAUAUUGCACAAUGGGGGAAACCCUGAUGCAGCGACGCCGCGUGAGUGAAGAAGUAUCUCGGUACGUAAAGCUCUAUCAGCAGGGAAGAAAAAAAGUCCUUUGGACUUUGGACGGUACCUGACCAAGAAGCCCCGGCUAACUACGUGCCAGCAGCCGCGGUAAUACGUAGGGGGCAAGCGUUAUCUGGAUUUACUGGGUGUAAAGGGAGCGUAGACGGCAGCGCAAGUCUGGAGUGAAAUGCCGGGGCCCAACCCCGGAACUGCUUUGGAAACUGUGCAGCUCGAGUGCAGGAGAGGUAAGCGGAAUUCCUAGUGUAGCGGUGAAAUGCGUAGAUAUUAGGAGGAACACCAGUGGCGAAGGCGGCUUACUGGACUGUAAC